ACGGGAGGCAGCAGUGGGGAAUAUUGCACAAUGGGGGGAAACCCUGAUGCAGCGACGCCGCGUGAGUGAAGAAGUAUUUCGGUAUGUAAAGCUCUAUCAGCAGGGAAGAAAAUGACGGUACCUGAAUAAGAAGCCCCGGCUAACUACGUGCCAGCAGCCGCGGUAAUACGUAGGGGGCAAGCGUUAUCCGGAUUUACUGGGUGUAAAGGGAGCGUAGACGGUAUGGCAAGUCUGAAGUGAAAUGCGGGGGCUCAACCCCUGAACUGCUUUGGAAACUGUCACACUGGAGUGCAGGAGAGGUAAGUGGAAUUCCUAGUGUAGCGGUGAAAUGCGUAGAUAUUAGGAGGAACACCAGUGGCGAAGGCGGCUUACUGGACUGUAACUGACGUUGAGGCUCGAAAGCGUGGGGAGCAAACAGGAUUAGAUACCCUGGUA
Molecule: ribosomal RNA, 435 nt
Filed under: uncultured Lachnospiraceae bacterium
Lineage: Bacteria; Bacillati; Bacillota; Clostridia; Lachnospirales; Lachnospiraceae
Description: partial 16S ribosomal RNA
Rfam family: Bacterial small subunit ribosomal RNA
Source: RNAcentral